Salvelinus sp. IW2-2015 is the source of this 1036-nucleotide non-coding RNA. The record is from RefSeq and is a predicted model, not a curated record. NCBI's taxonomy places the organism in Eukaryota, Metazoa, Chordata, Actinopteri, Salmoniformes, Salmonidae.
CGAGCAUCAGAAGUUUGAGUAGGCAAAGACUGGCACCGGAGUUGAAGUCCAUCAAAAGUUGAUUUCAACAUGGCACAUGAUCGGGGUGGACCUCAUCUGACCCUUCACGAAAUCCAGGAAUGGCAACAGCUGGUGUCUGCCGGCGACCGAUCACUUUACCAAGUGGGUGAAGCAAUACCCAUUAAGGACGAGACUAGCGAGGCCACCUCCAAGGCGAUGGUGGACUAUGUUCAACACCCACAGUUCUCCUGAGGUCAUGACCGAGGUCAUGAACGGUGGAACAAGGUUUGGUAAAUGGACCAACCAGACCCUCAAGACUGCCAUGGGCAAGUUCCUUGAUACCAGGAAGGGUGGGAGAACAACCUGAAGGUAAUUCUCUUUGCACACAACAGCAGACGGGAGCAGCAGCUGUUGACUGAGAUCACUGAAACCCCACCUGRUGUGGUGGAAGUUGUCGAACCAGAUCAGAACGCCUUUGAGGACCACCUUCAGGCACGGACUGAGAAGGAUGUGAAGGUUUUUGACCAGCUAGAGUUUCUGCCCAACACCCAGACGUGGAUCCACCUGAUGUCCUCCAUUACCAACCAUCCUCCAACUUUUCUUUACAUCAUCUACCCUGUUGUCAUUAUCUGCUAAGAAAGUUUCCUUGCUCUAUCAUACCGGGCACAUAAUAUGUGAGAUACACAGAUAAACUAAAAACACUAGCACUGCAAACACUCAGAACAAAGAGAGCAGCAGUGCCUGCAGUCUCUCUCUUCACGUCCCCCUUCUGAGACUGGCURCCUGUUGAGAACAAGUGACAGGCAGAAUUCCACACACCAGUAUUCAGUAUUUUAGUCUAUGAUUGCCAUUUGAGUGUACAGAAAAUCUGUGAAAAUAAAUUAAGGACACAACUGUACCAAAAACGAUCAAAGUUUGUAUUCAAAUCUUAAAUAUUGGCAGGUUGGUUUUCACAGCUGUUUCACAAGGUGUUCAUUAUUGUAAGUUGUAAGGUAUCCUUUGAUGGUAGUUAUUUGUUCCACAUGAUUCAUUGUUG